This 433-nucleotide ribosomal RNA is filed under the name uncultured bacterium. Its description in RNAcentral is "partial 16S ribosomal RNA". It matches the Rfam family "Bacterial small subunit ribosomal RNA", at positions 29 to 507 of the family's 1533-position model. The record is from RNAcentral.
AACGAACGCUGGCGGCAUGCCUAACACAUGCAAGUCGAACGAGACCUUCGGGUCUAGUGGCGCACGGGUGCGUAACGCGUGGGAACCUGCCCUUAGGUUCGGAAUAACUCCCCGAAAGGGGUGCUAAUACCGGAUAAUGUCUUCGGACCAAAGAUUUAUCGCCUUUGGAUGGGCCCGCGUUGGUUUAGCUAGUUGGUAGUGUAAAAGCCUACCAAGGCGACGAUCCAUAGCUGGUCUGAGAGGAUGAUCAGCCACACUGGGACUGAGACACGGCCCAGACUCCUACGGGAGGCAGCAGUGGGGAAUAUUGGACAAUGGGCGAAAGCCUGAUCCAGCAAUGCCGCGUGAGUGAUGAAGGCCUUAGGGUUGUAAAGCUCUUUUACCCGGGAUGAUAAUGACAGUACCGGGAGAAUAAGCUCCGGCUAACUCCGUG